ACUCCUACGGGAGGCAGCAGUGGGGAAUAUUGCACAAUGGGCGCAAGCCUGAUGCAGCCAUGCCGCGUGUGUGAAGAAGGCCUUCGGGUUGUAAAGCACUUUCAGUCGUGAGGAAGGUAGUGUAGUUAAUAGCUGCAUUAUUUGACGUUAGCGACAGAAGAAGCACCGGCUAACUCCGUGCCAGCAGCCGCGGUAAUACGUAGGGUGCGAGCGUUAAUCGGAAUUACUGGGCGUAAAGCGUGCGCAGGCGGUCUUGUAAGACAGAGGUGAAAUCCCUGGGCUCAACCUAGGAAUGGCCUUUGUGACUGCAAGGCUGGAGUGCGGCAGAGGGGGAUGGAAUUCCGCGUGUAGCAGUGAAAUGCGUAGAUAUGCGGAGGAACACCGAUGGCGAAGGCAGUCCCCUGGGCCUGCACUGACGCUCAUGCACGAAAGCGUGGGGAGCAAACAGGAUUAGAUACCCUGGUAGCUA
This 469-nucleotide ribosomal RNA is filed under the name uncultured bacterium. RNAcentral's name for it is "bacterial SSU rRNA". It matches the Rfam family "Bacterial small subunit ribosomal RNA", at positions 335 to 796 of the family's 1533-position model. The record is from RNAcentral.